RNAcentral lists this long non-coding RNA (1997 nucleotides) under Homo sapiens (human). RNAcentral describes it as "HSALNT0298973". Lineage: Eukaryota; Metazoa; Chordata; Mammalia; Primates; Hominidae. The record is from RNAcentral.
CCUGUGUCCAAAUGUCUCAUAGGAUGCUCCCAGGAACGGCUUGAUCCUCGUUUUUGAAACUUCAAGUGCUGGCUAAGUGAAGCUGGUAAAGACCCAGGCUCUGGAGUCGGACUGCCUAGGUUCAAAUCCCAGCUUCACCAUUUGAUCUCAGGUAAUGUGCCAACAUUGUAACAAGGUUUAAAGGAUGGAUAUCUCACACAUGAGCAUGAAAAACUGUAAAGUAAGGCCAGAGAGAUUAAAUCCUUUGCUUGGGGGUAGGCAGCAGUGUUGGUUUUGGAGCCCACGUGUCCUGACUGAAUACUCUACAGCUGGUCAUUACUCCAGCUCCUUCUAGAGCAUCAGGGAGUCCUGACUCUGGAAUCCUGCAGUUCCCUCUGCCAGGGACUUGAGGAUGUUCUGGUGUUCACAUAUAGCACAAGCACUUCCCCCUCUUUUCUUCUGAUACCUGCAUGCACACCUGAGACGCCUACUCCAAGACUCACCCUGGGGAUGAAGUGGCCUGAUUUCAUUGUCAUAAAGGCAUCUCUGAUGGGAUUCUCCCAAGUCAGUAAUCAUCUGUGGGCUUUAUGAAUAACAAACAUCUUAGCCUUGGAUUAUGUAGCUAAUAAAAAUAAGAGGUAUAUUCUAAUAUGCCAAAGUCAGCAAUUGGGAAGUUCACGUCACCCGGUCCAAUGUUGCAUCCUCUCUGCGGUCUUUCCCAGUCUCCCCAGGCAGAGCCACUCCCUGCUCUUCUGUUCCUACCCAGAUUUCUUAGGCUGUAUCAUGACCUAAUUUGUACAAUUUCCCCUGUUAGGACUGUGAGUUCCUUCUGGAAAGGGUUACUGUCUUACUCAACUAUAUCUCCAACAUCUAGGACACAGCUUGGCCUCUAGUAGUUGCUGGGUCCAAAUGAUGGCUGGGACUGGGAGGAAGGCGCCAUGUAGACCAAACAGGGAUAUAAGUGAACUUUCACACUCACCAACUUUCACUUACAGUCAGGGGCAUCAUAAGAAUGAUUAUCCAAACCAGGAUACUUUUGAAUGGAAAGUGGCACUAUUAAUAAUUACAAUGGGACAGCAGGCAUAAAUCAGGCAAAUUGGGGUAUAGGACUGUCUUCCUUGUAACCUAGGUUUGGAAAGUUUUAGCUCUGGAAAUUAUGUACAAUAAGAAAAGAAACAUUAAGUGAAUGCAUGACUUGAAACCACUAAAAGAGAGGUCUGUUCAAAUAAAGGAAUUACAUUCUGUCAAAGUAUAAUAUACAGUGAAGGGAUGGUUAGUCUAGAAAUCACCAUCCCUUUUAUGAUUUAACCAAGGGUAUCGUAUGCGUCUACCCUAUGGCACUCUGGAUUGGUCCAAGUGGUCACCUGACCUAACCUGGCCCAAUCACGAGUCCUUUCCCUGGGAUUCUGGGACUACAGCUGCGAAGGAUGGGCUGUCUUUGGGUCGCCGAUGCAAAGCUGAACACUGGUAGUAGCCCUGCACCCACCACGUUGGGAGAACAGGUUUGCAGAUGGAGAGAGGAGCAGAAAGGAGAGAUAGAGCCCGCUUCCAGCACAGCUGAAACAUUUUGAGGGUCCAGGGCCAGAAUAUAAACGGACCCACCUAUCACGUAUCUAAAGACUUGGAAGUUAUAAAUCCAUUGUCAAAUAAAACAUAUCCUGUCUUCCUACCUUAAUAAAUGUAUCUUCAUGAGAAAAAAAAAAUGGAUAUGGAACAUGUGUAAAGCUACAGGUUUAACAUAUUCAAAAGUUUGCAAAAUGCCUAAGACCAGUGCAUUUAAUCAUUAUUACACAUUUGGUGUUCUCAAUAGGCUCUGACAUCAGCCAGAGUAAUAAAGAUAUGCAUGAUUCAAAAAUCACAUUAAUUCCUUAAAAUGUAUCAUUCUUGCCUUCAUUUCAGCAAAAUCACUAAUGUGGUUAUAUUCAAGAUUUUUACUGAAUUUGUGCUCUAUCAUGAGUUAUGGAUUAAAAAGAAUUUUUAAAAAGAUGUAAUUGUAGUAAAAAUAUACCAAAUCUGAA